AUACGGAGGGUGCGAGCGUUGUUCGGAAUUAUUGGGCGUAAAGCGCGUGUAGGCGGUUUGUUAAGUCUGAUGUGAAAGCCCCGGGCUCAACCUGGGAAGUGCAUUGGAUACUGGCAGACUUGAAUACGGGAGAGGGCAGUGGAAUUCCUGGUGUAGGAGUGAAAUCCGUAGAUAUCAGGAGGAAUACCAGUGGCGAAGGCGGUCAUCUGGCUUGUCAUUGACGCUUAAGCACGAAAGCGUGGGUAGC
RNAcentral lists this ribosomal RNA (247 nucleotides) under uncultured bacterium. RNAcentral describes it as "partial 16S ribosomal RNA". It matches the Rfam family "Bacterial small subunit ribosomal RNA", at positions 523 to 769 of the family's 1533-position model. The record is from RNAcentral.